Long non-coding RNA from Aegilops tauschii subsp. strangulata, 1210 nucleotides. RefSeq lists it as uncharacterized. The record is from RefSeq and is a predicted model, not a curated record. Lineage: Eukaryota; Viridiplantae; Streptophyta; Magnoliopsida; Poales; Poaceae.
GGAGGACACAGACAAGUUGCUACACGCGUUGGAUAGGAAAAAGCAGCGGAAGAUCAAGGAUUGGGCCAAGCAUCACAGGAAGUAUGUCGUCUAGUUCGCGCUUAGGGUGGAGCAAGCUAGGGCUGGAAAACGAGCCCAGCUUCGUGAGCACUGCCCGGUCGCGUUCAACAACUAUCUCACAUGGUUUCUUGCAAGUACCCGUGUGGAGGUAUGCAAGCUGGCGUAUGCUGAGGAGAUUUUGGAAGAUCCCACCGUUUUUUAUGAGGUAGCCCAGCACCAGUACAACGCAUUAGUCAGGAAAGGCAACUCAGUGAUCCCUUCAGCUCCAAUGAUGAACUUUGUGCGUGCCCAGAUCAAGAAAGCAGCUGAUGAGACCGAGACUAUUCUGGAAACAACCCCGGCUGGCAAAAACGAUGGGGAAGGUGCACUUCGAGCAUUCAUUAAGCGCCAGGGCCAAAAGUUAAGGCGGCUAUCAAACCUUUUCGGUUGUCGUGACCCCGAGUAUGUAUCACCAGAACGGUCUAGGUCGGCGACACCAUCAGAUCCCACUUCGGGCCAGGGCCAUGGUGAUCCUUUGGAGGAUGAGGAUGUGGGUGUGGUCACCCAAGAGGUAUGGCAUGAGCAUAUAUCCAAUUGUUGAUGCAUUGCUAACUAUAUCCUCACACACGGUCUUUCCAUAUCUUUUGUUGAUGCAUAGGUUGCUGAUGAUAUGACCUUGGGGACGUACCAGGUUCGGUCUGCAUACGAGUUAAAGCCUAGAAAGGGAAUCAACAAAUACACACCUGAAGACUUCACCCAAAGAGGCAAAAGGAUGGUCGGCACCUCGCGGAUGGCGGCUUUGGAUGACUAUUUGGAUGACGAUGUGGAUGACGUGGAGGAACCGGAGCCGGAGCCGGAGCGGGUUGCUCUUCCUAGAAAGGCGAAGAAGAUAGCCAGCAAGAGGGGGGGAGCAGCCAAAAAGCACUCAAGGAACUAGUCAUCGUCCUCUAUUUGUAAUGUUGAACUUGGAGUGGUGGUAGCUCUUAGUAAGGUGGAACUUAUUAUGUCGUUGCACUUGGAGUGGUGGUAGCUCUAUGUUAAACUUGAAGUUGUGAUAGCUGUUAGUAAUGUGGAACUUGUUAUGUCGUUGAACUUGGAGUGGUGCUAGUAAUGUUGAACUUGUUGGAAAUGUUGUCUUUGUUGAACUUAAAGAUCCUUACUGUUUAUUGUA